Molecule: non-coding RNA, 122 nt
Filed under: Palpitomonas bilix
Lineage: Eukaryota
Source: RNAcentral
AAGCUGGGCAAGAUGGAAGUGCACGACGACGACGUGGUGUUUACUACCGAAAAUAGCUGGGGUGCAACCAAGCGAGUCCGCUUCAUGUUGCAGUCGCGCCCGUACAAAAGCACAAAAAAGGG